Molecule: ribosomal RNA, 414 nt
Filed under: uncultured microorganism
Description: bacterial SSU rRNA
Rfam family: Archaeal small subunit ribosomal RNA
Source: RNAcentral
CAGCCGCCGCGGUAAUACCGGCGGCCCGAGUGGCGGUCACUUUUUUUGGGCUUAAAGCGUCCGUAGCCGGGUUGGGAAGUCCUCCGGGAAAUCUGGCCGCUUAACGGUCAGAAUGCCGGAGGAUACUCCCAGCCUAGGGAGCGGGAGAGGCCGAGGGGAUUCCCGGGGUAGGGGUGAAAUCCUAUAAUCCCGGGAGGACCACCUGUGGCGAAGGCGCUCGGCUGGAACGCGUCCGACGGUGAGGGACGAAGGCCAGGGGAGCAAACCGGAUUAGAUACCCGGGUAGUCCUGGCGGUAAACGAUGCGGACUUUGUGUCGGACAAGCUAUGAGCUUGUCCGGUGCCGGAGGGAAACCGUUAAGUCCGCCGCCUGGGGAGUACGGCCGCAAGGCUGAAACUUAAAGGAAUUGGCGGG